Molecule: long non-coding RNA, 234 nt
Filed under: Lathyrus oleraceus (garden pea)
Lineage: Eukaryota; Viridiplantae; Streptophyta; Magnoliopsida; Fabales; Fabaceae
Description: Pisum sativum (pea) long non-coding RNA (PSAT_LNC036088)
Source: RNAcentral
AAUAUUUCGUUAACUUCCAACCAACAACUUCUCAACUAUUUUUCUUCUCUUUUAUCUUUCUAUUUUUUUUCUUUUUCAAAUCAGGAGGAAUAUGUAAUGACAUCCUUCUUUUUUUUUCUUUUUCUUUUUCAAUUUUUUUCUUUUUCAAUUUGUUUUUUUUUUGAAUAAAAUAUAACAACUAUAGUUAUUCAACCCCACACAACUCCAAACAAGACUCUUUCAAUCCUAUGACAG